This is a non-coding RNA of Elaeis guineensis (African oil palm), 119 nucleotides long. The record is from RefSeq and is a predicted model, not a curated record. Lineage: Eukaryota; Viridiplantae; Streptophyta; Magnoliopsida; Arecales; Arecaceae.
GGGUGCGAUCACACCAGUACUAAUGCACCGGAUCCCAUCAGAACUCCGCAAUUAAGCGUGCUUGGGCGAGAGUAAUACUAAGAUGGGUGACCCCCUGGGAUACGUUCGUGUUGCAUCCU